CAAAGUUUCAGUGCAUUCUGUUGAUGUAGACGGCGUGAAAACGAAAACAAGUAUGCCGUCUCACUGUGCUGCGUACAGUUACACACUACGUCGUACGACUGAGACAAGGAAACUUGGAAUGACUUUUCAUAGGUUUCCCAGAGACUAUGGGUUGAGGAGGAAUUGGAAGUUUGUCGGCUUAGACCUGGUGUCAUUCCAUCAGUGUUAAACUUCCCGGCUCAUCUUGGAAGAGUACGUGCCAGAAAGACCACGACCAAGCAGCCUUGAGAUCUUAGGCAGCGUCUCCCUCAGAUGUAGUGAGAGACAGACAGGAAACAGGGGAGAAGAAUCAGGGGAAG
Molecule: long non-coding RNA, 338 nt
Organism: Amphiprion ocellaris (clown anemonefish)
Lineage: Eukaryota; Metazoa; Chordata; Actinopteri; Pomacentridae
Source: Ensembl